This is a long non-coding RNA of Corvus hawaiiensis (hawaiian crow), 1163 nucleotides long. RefSeq lists it as uncharacterized. The transcript is spliced from 5 exons. NCBI's taxonomy places the organism in Eukaryota, Metazoa, Chordata, Aves, Passeriformes, Corvidae. The record is from RefSeq and is a predicted model, not a curated record.
GCUUGCCGGGGAAAGGUGCAGGGCGCAGGCAGCCGGGCUGGUGCCCGGGAAGCCGCUGCCCUGUCCGCUCUGCGCCGGCGGGGAGGCAGCCCCGGGGACGGGGACACCGCGGGGUGCGGGGGUGUCUGUGUGUAACCGGGGACGCCCAUCCCUCUGCCCUCGCUCCGUGAGUGACUCCGGGCCACUUCCACGCGAGGGGAUGCGCGGGGCUGGGCAGCGCCGCUGCGAGUUUGGCCCGGGUCGGUCCCGGUCCCCGCCCGACUCCGGGGCGAGAGGAGGCCAGCGCUCAACAACACAGAGGAGGCUCAGACAUGAUGGGAAGAUUAAUUUAACCAAUUGAAACAGCAGGGGGAAUUCAGAGCAUCAUGUGGUGUGAUCAAAGUCUGCUGGCACAGCUUGGACAGCUCUAAUAGUGCAGUAGCCACUUGCAUGAAUGUAAUACCUCCCAGAAAAGGACUGCAAUAUGUUUUCAGAAAUCCAGCUCUGCUAAUUUUGACCUUGCCACUGCCAGUGGGAGCAGCAUCAGAGGGGCCAGGGCUCAGCUGGCAGCCCAGCUUGCCAGGCCAGACACGGAGCGCCAGCCUCACCUCCCAUGAUCUCCACUCGAAGCAUGAAGCAAACAAAGCUCUCAAAGCUGAUCUCUUUCAUGAGCAAGAAGAUGAGACUUGCCAAAACAUGCUGUGGGCUCACCUGUCUCCUGUACAGCUGCAUGCAGCUCCACAAGGUCAAGCUUUCCUGAUGUGUUGGUGUCUCUCUUCUGGAAAACUUCCUGUGGGCAUGUCCCAUCUUCAUUCUCUGCUUUUCUGGCCCUACUCCAGCCACUGUGAAAAUCAAUAGAAGAGACUCCCUUUGAAUAUGACAAGAUUCUGAGCCUGCAAGAGCUGCAGUGUGCUCUGGGCUAAGUUCUCAGGGCUCCACACAGAUCAAUGCAGUAGUGCAGAUUUCCACUGAGUGAGGAUGCAGACCGUUAACCUUUCAGCCCUGCUGCCAUCUGUCCCACCAAGCACACUGUCAAGAGACCUGCUUUAAACAUUCCCCUUUUAUCAUUUACAAACAAAAAAAAAAGAAGGAAACUUUGGAACACUUCUCCCCAAACUUUUCAAAGCAGAGACUCCCCCUCCCGCUUGUCAUAAUAAAGUUUACAGAUCUUUUGGAAGCUGCGA